CUGUGUGUCUGUGUGUCUGUCUGUGUGUCUGUGGUUGCUGUUAGUUUAAUAAUACAUUCAGCUCCAGAGGGGGAGGAGUCACCCUCGCUCUGUGAUUCGGCCUUUAAGAGGAAAAAGUUGUUCAGUUUGGAGUUCACAGUUUCAGUACAUUGUGCCAAAGUGACAGUAGGAAUGUAACCAGAUCAGAUUUUAACCAUCUCAGAAAAUAUCAUAAUAAUAUAAUAACAUCCUGAAAAGAGUGUCAGACGUUGUUCUCUCCUCUGCAGCACCUGAAGGACAAGUUCUGGAACUUCAUCUUCUACAAGUUCAUCUUGGUGUUCGGCGUCCUGAACGUGCAGAUGGUGGAGGAGGUGGUGAUGUGGUGGCUCUGGUUCUCACCUCCUGGUUCAGCUCUGUAAGGACCGCUUCGAAUAUUGUUGGUGACCGUGAGGACGACACACGUCAUGUUUCGGUCUUCUGAACAUCUGGUUGUCCAAGUCUCGUGAUCUUCAUGCAGCUUCGUUUCCUCGUUCAGGAGGUUCAGAAGAGAAUCCGCCGCCACCACAACUACCUGCAAGUCCUCCGCAACAUGGAGACCGGGUUUUCUGUGGCGUCCGCAGAUGAGCUGGCAGCCAAUAACGACGACUGUGCGAUCUGCUGGGAUGUGAUGAGUUCGGCUCGGAAACUGCCCUGUGGUCACCUCUUCCACAGGUCUCCAAUCAGCCGCUCAUCCAGGUGACUCCUCCCCCCAAGGACGAGGGCGGAGCGACAGGAGCUGCUGCAGCGAGCACGCAGGGACUACCUGACCAGGAGCACCAGGUCCUCGGAUGGCAGCGCGUUGACCUUCGACACCAUGACCCUGCGACGAGAAACAUUAGCAGCAGCAGCAGAGCGGCGUCUGCAGAGGCAGUCUGACUCCGCCCACUGAGCCCAGACAGGAAGCCUCUGCUAAUGAUAAUGCUAACAAGAGCCACAGACCAUCGUACAGGAACUACAUUGAUCACUGAAGACCAGGAGCCGUCGAAUCAAAGCAGUUUCUCCCAAUGUCAGUAGAAAUGUUGGAGGUUUGAGCAGCUGGAUGCACAUUAACUGAACUCUGAACCGUUUUAACGUCCGGAGCUUCAUGUAGCUUCAGUUCCUCCAGCCAGAGAAGAUGUUAGGGAGGAACUGCUCCUCCAAACCAUCCUGUGGCUGUGGGGGCUGCGUAUCAAACAACACUAAAACCUCUCAAAUAUCAAAAUUUGUCAUCAGAUUCGUGACAGAAGUUUCAGUCAACUUAUUUUGUCACACGUAUGUUGAGGUUAACACAUUCAUUUAGGCGCUUUUAUUGCUGAUGGAAGCCGUGUUUGUAUUCAGCGAAUUAAAAUCUGAGAAAGUUUAGUUUCUCUGAUAUUCGAGCCUCGUGGAAUCGAACUUCCUUCUCUGUGGCUGCAAUGCAUUCAGGUUCCUCUUUCUCUAAAUUGAUCUCUGCGUCCUCGUCCAGUGUUUCGAACCAGGAUUUAUCAGUUUGUUACCUUAGUUAAGUUACCUUAACAAUAAAUACUUGAGUUACUCGUUCUUAAAUAUCUUUAAU
Morone saxatilis (striped sea-bass) is the source of this 1552-nucleotide long non-coding RNA. RefSeq lists it as uncharacterized. The transcript is spliced from 6 exons. NCBI's taxonomy places the organism in Eukaryota, Metazoa, Chordata, Actinopteri, Moronidae. The record is from RefSeq and is a predicted model, not a curated record.